RNAcentral lists this ribosomal RNA (274 nucleotides) under uncultured prokaryote. Its description in RNAcentral is "partial 16S ribosomal RNA". It matches the Rfam family "Bacterial small subunit ribosomal RNA", at positions 355 to 620 of the family's 1533-position model. The record is from RNAcentral.
UGAGGAAUAUUGCGCAAUGGGGGAAACCCUGACGCAGCGACGCCGCGUGGGUGAUGAAGGCCUUCGGGUUGUAAAGCCCUGUUGGAGGGGAAGAAAGGGCGUGUAGCUAAUAUCUGCACGCAUUGACGGUACCCUCUGUGGAAGCACCGGCUAACUCCGUGCCAGCAGCCGCGGUAAUACGGAGGGUGGGAGUGUUAGUCGGAAUUACUGGGCGUAACGAGCACGUCGGCGGAUAGACAAGUCAGAUGUGAAAGCCCGGAGCUUAACUCCGGAA